GACGUAGGAGGCGAGCGUUGUCCGGAUUCAUUGGGCGUAAAGAGCGCGCAGGCGGCUUGGUAAGUCGGAUGUGAAAUCCCGAGGCUCAACCUCGGGUCUGCAUCCGAUACUGCCCGGCUAGAGGUAGGUAGGGGAGAUCGGAAUUCCUGGUGUAGCGGUGAAAUGACGCAGAUAUCAGGAGGAACACCGGUGGCGAAGGCGGAUCUCUGGGCCUUACCUGACGCUCAGGCGCGAAAAGCUAGGGGGAGCGAACUGG
Molecule: ribosomal RNA, 256 nt
Filed under: uncultured bacterium
Lineage: Bacteria
Description: partial 16S ribosomal RNA
Rfam family: Bacterial small subunit ribosomal RNA
Source: RNAcentral